Molecule: unclassified non-coding RNA, 302 nt
Filed under: fungal sp.
Lineage: Eukaryota; Fungi
Description: partial internal transcribed spacer region
Rfam family: Eukaryotic small subunit ribosomal RNA (bases 1-46)
Source: RNAcentral
AAGUCGUAACAAGGUUUCCGUAGGUGAACCUGCGGAAGGAUCAUUUCCAAAAACCUUUUCUUUGCCAUUCCCUUUUUGCUCCUUGUCGGUGCACCCGCAUCGCGCAAAGGCAAAAAGGAAUGGCAAGGAAAUAUACCAACUCCAUCAUGCCUUCUGAUCUUUUCUCCCUUUUCUCUCUUCUUUUAACGACAACCGUCAAUGGAAGAAUGAAAUUGGGAUAAAAAUGGAAAGGCAUCAUUCUCAAGUCUAACAGUAUCAAAAUAACAAAAAAACAACUUUUAACAACGGAUCUCUUGGCUCUC